CCUGAACGCUGGCGGCGUGGCUAAGACAUGCAAGUCGCACGGGGUAGCAAUACCCAGUGGCGAACGGGUGAGUAAUGAAUCGCUAAUGUACCCUGGACUCUGGGAUAGCUACUCGAAAGGGUAGGUAAUACCAGAUGAGACCACAAGCAGGCAUCUGCUGGUGCUCAAAGGUCCGCCGGUCUGGGAGCAGGCGAUUUCGUAUCAGCUAGUUGGNGAGGU
RNAcentral lists this ribosomal RNA (219 nucleotides) under uncultured bacterium. Its description in RNAcentral is "partial 16S ribosomal RNA". It matches the Rfam family "Bacterial small subunit ribosomal RNA", at positions 30 to 258 of the family's 1533-position model. The record is from RNAcentral.